Molecule: ribosomal RNA, 440 nt
Filed under: uncultured bacterium
Lineage: Bacteria
Description: partial 16S ribosomal RNA
Rfam family: Bacterial small subunit ribosomal RNA
Source: RNAcentral
CCUACGGGAGGCAGCAGUGGGGGAUAUUGCACAAUGGGGGAAACCCUGAUGCAGCGACGCCUCGUGAGUGAAGAAGUAUUUCGGUAUGUAAAGCUCUAUCAGCCGGGAAGACAAUGACAGUACCUGACCAAGCAGCCCCGGCUCACUACGUGCCAGCAGCCCCGGUUAUCAGUAUGGGGCAAGCGUUAUCCGGAUUUACUGGGUGUAAAGGGAGCGUAGACGGUUAUGUAAGUCUGGAGUGAAAGCACGGGGCCCAACCCCUGGAGUGCUGUUGAAACUGUGUAACUUGAGUACAGGAGGGGCAGGCGGAAUGCCUGGUGUAGCGGUGAAAUGCGUAGAUAUCAGGAGGAACACCGGCGGCGAAGGCGGCCUGCGGGACUGAAACUGACGUUGAGGCUCGAAAGUGUGGGGAGCAAACAGGAUUAGAUACCCCUGUAGUC